RNAcentral lists this long non-coding RNA (688 nucleotides) under Homo sapiens (human). RNAcentral describes it as "HSALNT0123046". Lineage: Eukaryota; Metazoa; Chordata; Mammalia; Primates; Hominidae. The record is from RNAcentral.
GAGGAAUGCAUACAUACUCUCUGACAGUGGAAUGAAGGAAAGUGGGAGGCCAUGAGAGCCGGAAUUCUCACGAGCAGCAGCGGCCCUGUGGCCCUCAGCAGAGGGACUGACUGGAAGCAGAUGUGGCACAAGUCUCCCCAUGCGGCUUCACUGUUGACUCUCAGGACAUCUACCCUGGGGACUUCCCGCACCAAGAAGACCCUGAGUCACAUGCUUGCUGCUGUCCCCAUCUAUGAUGGCUGUAAAUUCCAUUUGCCUGCUGCUGUCCAUGAAUGGAAGUCUACCUGGGACCCUCUCCUGACCUGGAGACCCACACAUCCAAAUGCCUACUUGGCAGCUCCCGUGGAUGUUUCGUGAUCAGCAUUCCCAACAGUGAAAUCCUGAAUGCUCUUCCCCAAAUCCACUCCACACACGGCCUUCCCUAUCCCUUGUGGUGGCAACUGAGUCCACUGUGGGUCCAUGGGCCCCCCUUUCUUUGACUCCCCAGCUCCAGUCCCCUAGCAAGACCAGCUGGAUCUGCUCUUUGGAUUGCCAGGAUCUGCCCACGUCUCAGGGCCCUCACUGCCUGGCCCACACAUGAUGCUCAAAGACACUCUCACACAUGUCCAAAUAUUUAAAAGUUAUACAUCAAACCCACAAACUUUAAUUUGAUAAGUAAAAAAUGUUUAAAUAAACAAUUUUAAAAGUA